GACGAAUGCUGGCGGCGUGCUUAACACAUGCAAGUCGAACGGAAAGGCCCUGCUUGCAGGGUGCUCGAGUGGCGAACGGGUGAGUAACACGUGGGUGAUCUGCCCCUUACUUUGGGAUAAGCCUGGGAAACUGGGUCUAAUACUGGAUAGGACCAUGCUGUAGGUGGUGUGGUGGAAAGAUUAGUUUCGGUAAGGGAUGAGCUCGCGGCCUAUCAGCUUGUUGGUGGGGUAAUGGCCUACCAAGGCGUCGACGGGUAGCCGGCCUGAGAGGGUGGACGGCCACAUUGGGACUGAGAUACGGCCCAGACUCCUACGGGAGGCAGCAGUGGGGAAUAUUGCACAAUGGGCGCAAGCCUGAUGCAGCGACGCCGCGUGGGGGAUGACGGCCUUCGGGUUGUAAACUCCUUUCAGCCAUGACGAAGCCCUUGUGGUGACGGUAGUGGUAGAAGAAGCACCGGCUAACUACGUG
RNAcentral lists this ribosomal RNA (469 nucleotides) under uncultured bacterium. RNAcentral describes it as "partial 16S ribosomal RNA". It matches the Rfam family "Bacterial small subunit ribosomal RNA", at positions 28 to 507 of the family's 1533-position model. The record is from RNAcentral.